Molecule: transfer RNA, 63 nt
Filed under: Uloma sp. BMNH 1425257
Lineage: Eukaryota; Metazoa; Arthropoda; Insecta; Coleoptera; Tenebrionidae
Description: tRNA-Phe
Source: RNAcentral
ACUUAAAUAGCUUAUUUAGAGCAUGAUGCUGAAGAUAUCAAGGAAAUUUAUUAUUUUUAAGUA